UCCGGCUUGACGCCGGCAGUCUCGCUAGAGUACUGGCUUUCGCCGAGCAACUAACGACAGGGGUUGCGCUCGUUAGAGGACUUAACCCGACACUUCACAGCACGAGCUGACGACAGCCAUGCAGCACCUGUGCACGUUCCACCCUUGCGGGUGUGGCUCGACUUUCAUCAAGUUAAUCCGUGCAUGUCAAACCCAGGUAAGGUUCUUCGCGUUGCCUCGAAUUAAGCAACAUGUUCCACCGCUUGUGCGGGCCCCCGUCAAUUCCUUUGAGUUUCAGUCUUGCGACCGUACUCCCCAGGUGCAGGACUUAACGCGUUAGCUCCGGGACGCUCCACGAACGUGAAGCACCCCAAGUCCUGAUCGUUUAGGGCUAGGACUAC
Molecule: unclassified non-coding RNA, 380 nt
Filed under: uncultured bacterium
Lineage: Bacteria
Description: contains 16S-23S intergenic spacer region
Source: RNAcentral